UACGGGGGAUGCAAGCGUUAUCCGGAUUUAUUGGGUUUAAAGGGUGCGUAGGCUGUGAGGUAAGUCAGCGGUAAAAGCCCGGGGCUCAACCCCGGCGAGCCGUUGAAACUGGCGGGCUGGAGUUGGAGAGAAGUACGCGGAAUGCGCGGUGUAGCGGUGAAAUGCUUAGAUAUCGCGCAGAACCCCGAUUGCGAAGGCAGCAUACCGGCGGCGAUCUGACGCUGAGGCACGAAAGCGUGGGUAUCGAACAGG
RNAcentral lists this ribosomal RNA (252 nucleotides) under uncultured Bacteroidales bacterium. RNAcentral describes it as "partial 16S ribosomal RNA". It matches the Rfam family "Bacterial small subunit ribosomal RNA", at positions 524 to 776 of the family's 1533-position model. The record is from RNAcentral. Lineage: Bacteria; Pseudomonadati; Bacteroidota; Bacteroidia; Bacteroidales.